Molecule: ribosomal RNA, 1118 nt
Filed under: Nostoc sp. 'Gunnera magellanica cyanobiont'
Lineage: Bacteria; Bacillati; Cyanobacteriota; Cyanophyceae; Nostocales; Nostocaceae
Description: bacterial SSU rRNA
Rfam family: Bacterial small subunit ribosomal RNA
Source: RNAcentral
GCGUGAGGGAGGAGGCUCUUGGGUCGUAAACCUCUUUUCUCAGGGAAGAACACAAUGACGGUACCUGAGGAAUAAACAUCGGCUAACUCCGUGCCAGCAGCCGCGGUAAUACGGAGGAUGCAAGCGUUAUCCGGAAUGAUUGGGCGUAAAGCGUCCGCAGGUGGCAAUGUAAGUCUGCUGUUAAAGAGUGAGGCUCAACCUCAUAAGAGCAGUGGAAACUACAUAGCUAGAGUACGUUCGGGGCAGAGGGAAUUCCUGGUGUAGCGGUGAAAUGCGUAGAGAUCAGGAAGAACACCGGUGGCGAAGGCGCUCUGCUAGGCCGUAACUGACACUGAGGGACGAAAGCUAGGGGAGCGAAUGGGAUUAGAUACCCCAGUAGUCCUAGCCGUAAACGAUGGAUACUAGGCGUGGCUUGUAUCGACCCGAGCCGUGCCGUAGCUAACGCGUUAAGUAUCCCGCCUGGGGAGUACGCCGGCAACGGUGAAACUCAAAGGAAUUGACGGGGGCCCGCACAAGCGGUGGAGUAUGUGGUUUAAUUCGAUGCAACGCGAAGAACCUUACCAAGGCUUGACAUGUCGCGAAUCUCGGUGAAAGCUGAGAGUGCCUUCGGGAGCGCGAACACAGGUGGUGCAUGGCUGUCGUCAGCUCGUGUCGUGAGAUGUUGGGUUAAGUCCCGCAACGAGCGCAACCCUCGUUUUUAGUUGCCAGCAUUAAGUUGGGCACUCUAGAGAGACUGCCGGUGACAAACCGGAGGAAGGUGGGGAUGACGUCAAGUCAGCAUGCCCCUUACGCCUUGGGCUACACACGUACUACAAUGCUACGGACAAAGGGCAGCUACACAGCGAUGUGAUGCAAAUCUCGUAAACCGUAGCUCAGUUCAGAUCGCAGGCUGCAACUCGCCUGCGUGAAGGAGGAAUCGCUAGUAAUUGCAGGUCAGCAUACUGCAGUGAAUUCGUUCCCGGGCCUUGUACACACCGCCCGUCACACCAUGGAAGCUGGUAGUGCCCGAAGUCAUUACUCCAACCCUUCGGGGAGGAGGAUGCCUAAGGCAGGACUGGUGACUGGGGUGAAGUCGUAACAAGGUAGCCGUACCGGAAGGUGUGGCUGGAUCACCUCCU